CAUUGGUACGUACUAGUAUUAUUGGUUUCUCCCUUCUGAUGAAUCAUGAUGUCAUUAAUUUGAUGUCAUGGGGAAUCAGGACUGUUACUUUGAAAAAAUUAGAGUGUUUAAAGCAGGCUCGCGCUUGAAUACAUUAGCAUGGAAUAAUGAAAUAGGACGUUUGAUUCUAUUUUGUUGGUUUCUAGGAUCGACGUAAUGAUUAAUAGGGAUAGUUGGGGGCAUUAGUAUUCAAUUGUCAGAGGUGAAAUUCUUGGAUUUAUUGAAGACUAACUACUGCGAAAGCAUUUGCCAAGGAUGUUUUCAUUAAUCAAGAACGGAAGUUAGGGGAUCGAAGACGAUCAGAUACCGUCGUAGUCUUAACCAUAAACUAUGCCGACUAGGGAUCGGAUGAUGUUAAUUUUUUAAUGACUCAUUCGGCGCCUUACG
RNAcentral lists this ribosomal RNA (426 nucleotides) under uncultured Glomeromycotina. RNAcentral describes it as "SSU rRNA". It matches the Rfam family "Eukaryotic small subunit ribosomal RNA", at positions 668 to 1092 of the family's 1831-position model. Lineage: Eukaryota; Fungi; Glomeromycota. The record is from RNAcentral.